AUACGUAGGUGACAAGCGUUAUCCGGAUUUACUGGGCGUAAAGGGCGUGUAGGCGGUCUUGCAAGUCAGAAGUGAAAUUCCUGAGCUCAACUCGGGCGCUGCUUCUGAAACUGCCGGACUUGAGUGCUGGAGGGGCUAGCGGAAUUCCUAGUGGAGCGGUAAAAUGCGCAGAUGUUAGGAAGAACACCGGGGGCGAAGGCGUGUAUCUGGGAUUGAUCGUAAGCGUGGACGCCAGUGCGGGGGGAGCAAACAGGAUUAAAGACCGUGUUAUCCCACGCCGUAAACGAGGAAUACUAGGUUUAGGGGGUAUCGACUCCCUCUGGGCCGCAGUUAACACAAUAAGUAUUCCGCCUGGGGAGUACGGCCGCACGGUUGAAGCUGAAAUGAAUGGGCAGGG
Molecule: ribosomal RNA, 397 nt
Filed under: uncultured bacterium
Lineage: Bacteria
Description: partial 16S ribosomal RNA
Rfam family: Bacterial small subunit ribosomal RNA
Source: RNAcentral